This 445-nucleotide ribosomal RNA is filed under the name uncultured bacterium. Its description in RNAcentral is "partial 16S ribosomal RNA". It matches the Rfam family "Bacterial small subunit ribosomal RNA", at positions 339 to 795 of the family's 1533-position model. The record is from RNAcentral.
CUACGGGACGCUGCAGUCAAGAAUCUUCCGCAAUGGCCGAAAGGCUGACGGAGCGACGCCGCGUGCACGAAGAAGCCCUUCGGGGUGUAAAGUGCUUUUGUAGAGGACGAAACUUCGGUUGACGGUACUCUACGAAUAAGGGGCUGCUAACCUCGUGCCAGCAGCAGCGGUAAUACGAGGGCCCCAAGCGUUAUCCGGAUUUAUUGGGCGUAAAGGGUCCGCAGGCGGUUUGCCGCAUCUUUUGUUAAAUCCCGAAGCUUAACUUCGGAACUGCAAGAGAGAUGGGCAGACUAGAGGCCGGGAAAGGCAAGCGGAAUUGCCGGUGUAGGGGUUAAAUCCGUUAAUAUCAGCAGGAACACCAAAUGCGAAGGCAGCUUGCUAGAACGCGCCUGACGCUCAGGGACGAAAGCGUGGGGAGCGAAUGGGAUUAGAUACCCGCGUAGUC